GUUCUCUGCUCAAUCUCGCCUGGGUCGCCUUCCUCGCGCACUUUUGGUUAUUGAUCCAGCUGAACCGGCGGGAGCGCGGAACUGCGCUUCCCUAGGGACGAAGAGAGUGGGGAGGGGAGUAGAUUGGGGGGUAGUGAGGGGAGGUUGAUAAACUUUAGGAGAAGGGUGUAGGGUGUUCCUCAGAACCCCAAGGCAGAC
RNAcentral lists this long non-coding RNA (198 nucleotides) under Marmota monax (woodchuck). It matches the Rfam family "Vax2os1 conserved region 3". The record is from RNAcentral. Lineage: Eukaryota; Metazoa; Chordata; Mammalia; Rodentia; Sciuridae.